RNAcentral lists this ribosomal RNA (480 nucleotides) under uncultured bacterium. RNAcentral's name for it is "bacterial SSU rRNA". It matches the Rfam family "Bacterial small subunit ribosomal RNA", at positions 28 to 507 of the family's 1533-position model. The record is from RNAcentral.
GAUGAACGCUAGCGGGAGGCUUAACACAUGCAAGUCGAGGGGUAAAUGGUAGCAAUACUAUGAGACCGGCGGACGGGUGCGUAACGCGUAUGCAACAUACCUUUAGCAGGGGGAUAGCCCGUGGAAACGCGGAUUAAUAUUCCAUAGUCCAGCAGUAUCGCAUGGUACCACUGGUAAAGAUUAAUCGGCUAAAGAUUGGCAUGCGUCUGAUUAGUUAGUUGGUAGGGUAACGGCCUACCAAGGCGACGAUCAGUAGGGGUUCUGAGAGGAUUACCCCCCACACUGGUACUGAGACACGGACCAGACUCCUACGGGAGGCAGCAGUGAGGAAUAUUGGUCAAUGGGCGGAAGCCUGAACCAGCCAUCCCGCGUGAAGGAAGACAGCCUUACGGGUUGUAAACUUCUUUUCUGGUUUGAAGAAUAAGCCCGUUGAGACGGGUGAUGCCGGUAGGACAGGAAUAAGCAUCGGCUAACUCCGUG